AUUGAACGCUGGCGGCAGGCCUAACACAUGCAAGUCGAACGGUAACAGGAAGCAGCUUGCUGCUUCGCUGACGAGUGGCGGACGGGUGAGUAAUGUCUGGGAAACUGCCUGAUGGAGGGGGAUAACUACUGGAAACGGUAGCUAAUACCGCAUAACGUCGCAAGACCAAAGAGGGGGACCUUCGGGCCUCUUGCCAUCGGAUGUGCCCAGAUGGGAUUAGCUAGUAGGUGGGGUAACGGCUCACCUAGGCGACGAUCCCUAGCUGGUCUGAGAGGAUGACCAGCCACACUGGAACUGAGACACGGUCCAGACUCCUACGGGAGGCAGCAGUGGGGAAUAUUGCACAAUGGGCGCAAGCCUGAUGCAGCCAUGCCGCGUGUAUGAAGAAGGCCUUCGGGUUGUAAAGUACUUUUCAGCGGGGAGGAAGGCGAUAAGGUUAAUAACCUUGUCGAUUGACGUUACCCGCAGAAGAAGCACCG
Molecule: ribosomal RNA, 479 nt
Filed under: Enterobacter hormaechei
Lineage: Bacteria; Pseudomonadati; Pseudomonadota; Gammaproteobacteria; Enterobacterales; Enterobacteriaceae
Description: bacterial SSU rRNA
Rfam family: Bacterial small subunit ribosomal RNA
Source: RNAcentral